Molecule: ribosomal RNA, 460 nt
Filed under: uncultured bacterium
Lineage: Bacteria
Description: partial 16S ribosomal RNA
Rfam family: Bacterial small subunit ribosomal RNA
Source: RNAcentral
CCUACGGGAGGCAGCAGUGAGGAAUAUUGGUCAAUGGACGAGAGUCUGAACCAGCCAAGUAGCGUGAAGGCUGACUGCCCUAUGGGUUGUACACUUCUUUUAUAUGGGAAUAAAAUGUUCCACGUGUGGGAUUUUGUAUGUACCAUAUGAAUAAGGAUCGGCUAACUCCGUGCCAGCAGCCGCGGUAAUACGGAGGGUCCGAGCGUUAUCCGGAUUUAUUUGGUUUCAAGGGCGCGUAGGUGGAUUGUUAAGUCAGUUGUGAAAGUGUGCGGGUCAACCGUAAAAUUGCAGUUGAAACUGGCAGUCUUGAGUACAGUAGAGGUGGGCGGAAUUCGUGGUGUAGCGGUGAAAUGCUUAGAUAUCACGAAGAACUCCAAUUGCGAAGGCAGUUCACUGGACUGCAACUGACACUGAGGCUCGAAAGUGUGGGUAUCAAACAGGAUUAGAGACCCUAGUAGUC